AGUGAACGCUGGCGGUAGGCCUAACACAUGCAAGUCGAACGGCAGCACAGUAAGAGCUUGCUCUUACGGGUGGCGCGUGGCGGACGGGUGAGGAAUACAUCGGAAUCUACUUUUUCGUGGGGGAUAACGUAGGGAAACUUACGCUAAUACCGCAUACGACCUACGGGUGAAAGCAGGGGAUCUUCGGACCUUGCGCGAUUGAAUGAGCCGAUGUCGGAUUAGCUAGUUGGCGGGGUAAAGGCCCACCAAGGCGACGAUCCGUAGCUGGUCUGAGAGGAUGAUCAGACACACUGGAACUGAGACACGGUCCAGACUCCUACGGGAGGAAGCAGUGGGGAAUAUUGGACAAUGGGCGAAAGCCUGAUCCAGCCAUACCGCGUGGGUGAAGAAGGCCUUCGGGUUGUAAAGCCCUUUUGUUGGGAAAGAAAAGCAGCAGGUUAAUACCCCGCUGUUCUGACGGUACCCAAAGAAUAAGCACCGGCUAACUUCGUG
RNAcentral lists this ribosomal RNA (492 nucleotides) under uncultured bacterium. Its description in RNAcentral is "partial 16S ribosomal RNA". It matches the Rfam family "Bacterial small subunit ribosomal RNA", at positions 29 to 507 of the family's 1533-position model. The record is from RNAcentral.